AUUGAACGCUGGCGGCAGGCCUAACACAUGCAAGUCGAGCGGAUGAAGGGAGCUUGCUCCUGGAUUCAGUGGCGGACGGGUGAGUAAUGCCUAGGAAUCUGCCUGGUAGUGGGGGAUAACGUCCGGAAACGGGCGCUAAUACCGCAUACGUCCUGAGGGUGAAAGUGGGGGAUCUUCGGACCUCACGCUAUCAGAUGAGCCUAGGUCGGAUUAGCUAGUUGGUGGGGUAAAGGCCUACCAAGGCGACGAUCCGUAACUGGUCUGAGAGGAUGAUCAGUCACACUGGAACUGAGACACGGUCCAGACUCCUACGGGAGGCAGCAGUGGGGAAUAUUGGACAAUGGGCGAAAGCCUGAUCCAGCCAUGCCGCGUGUGUGAAGAAGGUCUUCGGAUUGUAAAGCACUUUAAGUUGGGAGGAAGGGCAGUAAGUUAAUACCUUGCUGUUUUGACGUUACCAACAGAAUAAGCACCGGCUAACUUCGUG
RNAcentral lists this ribosomal RNA (484 nucleotides) under uncultured bacterium. RNAcentral describes it as "partial 16S ribosomal RNA". It matches the Rfam family "Bacterial small subunit ribosomal RNA", at positions 30 to 507 of the family's 1533-position model. The record is from RNAcentral.